UCCCUAUUUGUCAUCAUGCUCAGAAGUCACUGAGUAUGGUGGCACAUGCCUUUAAUACCAGCACUAGGGAGGCUGAGGCAGGAGGAU
This 87-nucleotide microRNA precursor is filed under the name Jaculus jaculus (lesser Egyptian jerboa). RNAcentral describes it as "miRNA (ENSJJAG00000006756.1)". The record is from RNAcentral. Lineage: Eukaryota; Metazoa; Chordata; Mammalia; Rodentia; Dipodidae.